GCCAGCAAGAGAGCAGAAGCAGGAAGAAAGCCAGCCGGAAGACACCUACCCUGGCCGGAAGACACGUACCCCCGAAGAUCGAGAAAGAGGCUGUCCGGGUAGUAUGUAGCAGUCACGUCAGACUGAGACACUUCUUGUUUACAGGAGACCAUAAAACCCCUGCCCCAUCCUCAUUUGGUGCUGAGGCCGUUUUAGGCCUCAGCCCGCCUGUACCCAGGCACUCAUUAAAACAGCGUGUUGCUCCACAGGGCCUCGUGUUGUCUGUUGGCACGCUCUUGGGCUUGGAACCGAUACAAGAACCUUACAAUGAGGUGGAAGAGAGAAGCACGGCAGGAUUGUGCACAAAGUCUUGUCUGUUGUGGAAUGGAGUUUGGACCUUUCCCACCACUUUCAAGGAAGGGAAUGAAUUGACCUGGUUCACUUCCUAAGAAGGCUACUGUCUGUGUGGUGCUCCUAGAGGCAUGGGAGAGGAGUGAAGACAGAGAUGACCAAAGAAACACUUGGGGAAAGAAUGGAAGCGGCAUGUGUUAGCUUGGGAAAGGGAAACAUACCAGCAUCCGAGAUCUGGCCAUCAGGGAGAAUAACAAACACUGACGAAAUUCUACUCUCAUGUUUGAAGAACCAGCA
Molecule: long non-coding RNA, 627 nt
Filed under: Homo sapiens (human)
Lineage: Eukaryota; Metazoa; Chordata; Mammalia; Primates; Hominidae
Description: HSALNT0160711
Source: RNAcentral